GUCGGCUGUUCAAACCCUCACUGCUUGCCCCUCUCACAGUUUUAAUAAGGAUGUUUCGAGACGCGAGAGGAAGUAACCCUGCUGCCCCCUGCCUUCCCAUGCUGCAGUGUUAGCAAUGCUGGAGCUGACCACUGCUGGAAAGAUCGCCUUAUUCCUUGCUGUCCCCACCACCUUUGUCCUUCUGUACUGGCUGCUGAAUCACAGGGAAGACGACGAUGAUGAUCCACUCUCUGCAUCCAAAGUUACCACAUCACGUCAAACGGUUAUCGAGGUUAAAGUCCCACGCAAGAUUGUCGGCUCAGUGAUUGGACGACAGGGAGCUAAUAU
RNAcentral lists this long non-coding RNA (327 nucleotides) under Haliotis rubra (blacklip abalone). RNAcentral describes it as "uncharacterized LOC124255643, transcript variant X1". Lineage: Eukaryota; Metazoa; Mollusca; Gastropoda; Lepetellida; Haliotidae. The record is from RNAcentral.